Nycticebus coucang (slow loris) is the source of this 1138-nucleotide long non-coding RNA. RefSeq lists it as uncharacterized. The record is from RefSeq and is a predicted model, not a curated record. The transcript has 2 exons. Lineage: Eukaryota; Metazoa; Chordata; Mammalia; Primates; Lorisidae.
UCCAUCCGCCUCAACUAUUAGAGGGAGUCUCGUCGGGGAGGGGCGGAGGAGAGAAUGUCGCCGUAGCCGCGAGAGCCUGUGAGUUGAUCCCUCUGCACCUUUCGCAGGCCGGGCUCUGUGAACCAGGGUGGAAAGCGCAUUGUACGGAGAAGAAUCCCCAGCAUCCUUGCGACGUCACUGUGAGCCACAUUAGUGUUUAUCUUGUAUUAGUUUCAAAUCUCUCGACAGGCAACACGCUGCUUAGGCGAGCCCAUCCACUCGUCCGGCUUGAAUUUAUUCAUCAGUGACUUCCAAACCUUUAUUUCCGACCCAGAAAUCUUUCCUGAGCUAUCGAGUCACCGCCCAACCUCCCCUUUCGAUGUUGAUUUGGAUGCGCCUAUCAGCAGCUGUCCAAAGCACCUCUGUGUGCCAGCCAUGUUGAAUACUUUGGAGUGGAACAAGGAAGACCACCGGAGCCUGUUACAAAAGCCCAAGGCAGAAGUGGAAUGAAGUGGAUGUCCCAUGGAUAUCUAAACAGCAACAUUUCCAAAACUGAACUAAGCAUCAGUAAAGCAUGGUGGCAUAGCCUAGUGGUUAAGGACCGAAUGAACUAAUGGUUUAUAUUCAGAUCCUGUCUCUUCCUAGCUGUGUUGUUGGGCAAGUCCCUUAACAUCUUUGUGCCUCUAUUUCCUCAUCUAUAAAUGUGGAUAAUAGCCCAACCCCAUAGGGUUGUAAUGAUGAAUAAUGAGAUCUGACAUAGUGCCUCUUUCUCUAAAACAGCCCCUCUCUGUGUUCUCUAUCUCAAGAAUACCACUACCAGGGUGGCGCCUGUGGCUCAAAGGAGUAGGGCACUGGCCCCAUAUACCGGAGGUGACAGGUUCAAACCUGGCCCUGGCCAAACACUGGGGAAAAAAAGGCUCGGUGCCAGCCACAUACACCUGAGCUGGCGGGUUCGAAUCCAGCCCGGGCCCUCCAAACGACGACAACAUAACCAAAAAAUAGCCAGGCAUUGUGGCGGAGCCUGUAAUCCCAGCUACUUGAGAGGUGGAGGCAGGAGACUUGCUUGAACCCAGGAGUUGGAGGUUGCUAUGAGCUGUGAUGCCAGAGCACUCUACCCAGGGCAACAGCCUGAGGUUCUGUCUCAAAAAAAAAAAAAGAA